This 1889-nucleotide long non-coding RNA is filed under the name Carica papaya (papaya). RNAcentral describes it as "long non-coding RNA (CPAP_LNC011499)". The record is from RNAcentral. Lineage: Eukaryota; Viridiplantae; Streptophyta; Magnoliopsida; Brassicales; Caricaceae.
UUGAGAAAUGCCUUUUUUCGCCUGUUGAGCUCAUGAUAUUCCGGUCUCUGCAAGUAAUUUCCUCAUCCUUCAAGCCUUAAAGUUGAAGAAAAUGGUGAUCUUUAAAUAGUCUCGAUGUGCUUGAUGCUAUUCACAUUUCUUAAAAGCAUCAUAAUUGUUAAUAUUUUCCCAAUCAUAAUUUUCAUUAGCUGCAAGGUUAGUGAAAGACUCUAAACUGGUUAAAGGAGAUGAAGGUAUUUGAUUGCUUUGUUCUUGCAUGUUGACAAUAUCUUUAGCUGUGACAUCCCGAUACCUGGUGGGAUAAAAGAUACCUGAUAACAAAACAAAUGUGAGUACAUGAAUUAUAAACAUAUAUAUUCAAUAGAAAAAUAUCAUCCCUUAUAAAAAUAUUAGUUUCAAAUUUACACAUGAGACCAAAAAGAUGGCUACCAAAAUAUAUAUAUACAAAAGUUAUGAAGAGCCACUUAUUCUAUUAUAAGGGUGUUUUAUCAUAGUGCGAAUAGAUAAUGCACUCAAAAUUUUUCUAAAUAUUCGAUAACGGAUCCAAACAAGCUUCAAUGGGCAGCUCAACAAGCAAAUCGUCACUUCAAACAUCAUCUUAGGGAGAACAAGAAUUAGGGCGGGUUCCAAUAAAUUCAAUAAGAAAAAUAAUAUUUAAACUAUAUUAUCAAGGUUUUAGAAGUUACUUAGUUCCAAAACAUACCAUUAUAAACAUACCAUUGGACGGAACUAUAGUAGGCUAGAUUAAAAUAUUUCCGAAAAAUAUUGGUUUUUAGAAAACAAUGUAUAUGAUCGAAGUUCUUUUCAAAUCAUAAGUUUAUAAGCGGAAUAGUGAAAAACAUAUGCAACAUAAAUUAAGCCAGUAAUAGUAAAGUGAAAGCGAAAAGAUAAUAUAAAGCAUAUAUGGUUCCAUAAAAUAUGCCAGAAUGGAAAAACACAUGGAAAAAAUGCAGGGGCAAACAAAUAUAAUUGUAAGAGAGACAGUUAAAUAAUGGCAAUCAUACAUACAUAACAGUCAAUAAUCUCAAUAAUCAGUUAGAUAGUUUUUACGAAUUUUACGAAAUUUUGCGCGAAGCCAUUCUAACUUAUACCAGUUGAGGGUAGAAGGGAUCUCCAACUACCAUUAUGAAUAUACAAAAUGAUUAAUUUUAAUACAAGAUAAUCUAGAUAGGUAGUUAUUGACUACGGUUGUACUUCGCCACUGUGGCCUCUACAAUCAAUCCCGAAUCCACUCUCAUAAGAGGGAAUGCUAGUAUCAUUUAUAGGGAGUGGUUCACCAAUGGUCGAUUCAAUCAGAUUCAGAUACCCUCCAGUGAUAAUGGUCAAACGGAUUUUUAAUUCUUUCUUCUUUUCUUUACUAAUUCAAAUUCACAGAUAAUCAUAAAAUCAAACCCGAUGAGGGUCCAAUAACACAUUUUUUGGCAUAAAAAGGCCUUUAUACUUAGACUUCGCCAUCGGUCACCUUCUCGAGCCGAGACUCAAUAGAUUAGCCCUCUCCACCAACAUCCAAAGGCAAGGUAGAGGGCCAAAUCCGCACAUACACAUCGGUCAUUUUCGAAAUUUGAUUUAAACAUGUAUUUUCAUUUUAAGGAGGAUUACAAACAUAUAUACCCAAUUGUUUUAAAUAAUUGAUAAUCUAUGAUUAUAAACAAUAUUCAAUUUUAUGCACCAAGACAAAUCGAUAGUCAUAAAAUUAUUAUCUAAAAAUUCACUUAGAAAUGUAUGAGCAAAUACCAAAGAAAUUCCUUACCGAAAUCUUUAAAUUUUGCAAAGUACUUACGUGGAAGGAUAGAAAGAUUGCUGGGUGAUUUGUAAUCCGUACGAAAAAAUCUGAACUCCUGGUUUGCCUUAAUUCUCUCACAAUUUUCAUUAAUUUCUCUCUAUAAAAU